Molecule: long non-coding RNA, 913 nt
Organism: Harpia harpyja (harpy eagle)
Lineage: Eukaryota; Metazoa; Chordata; Aves; Accipitriformes; Accipitridae
Exons: 3
Source: RefSeq, a predicted model, not a curated record
GUGACUGACCCGGAACGUGGUGGGGACUGCCUGCUCAAGAAUUCUGUUUCAUUUUUCUUUACUCUGCUGAAGAAAGAUGAAAGCUGUGCUCAAGGAGCAGGAGUAAUAGCCCACAUGGACUGCUUUGCACAGUGCUCUGAGAGGCCAGAAAAGGAACGUAUUUCUCUGGUAAGAUACUCAAGCUGCAAGAUCGGGGCUCUCCCACCAGCUCAGCAUGAGAUUUUCUGUUCAGCUUUCAGCAAACUAUUACACUCAUCAGCAUCUGUUAAUGUAUCAGGCAAAAUACCGUCACUGCCAGGGGAUGUGAGAUGCAAAACAAAGAAAUCUGUAAAGCUGUUGAGAUAAUGGAAUGGAGAGACUUGAGGCGCUCCAAAGAUUUCUAUUAUUUAAUGUUCCUCUCUGGAGAAAACGUUGCCCAGUAUCAUCUGGUGACUGAUUUUGAAAUUAAUUAUGCUGAUCCACUCGUAACACCAGCUGGCAAGGAGGCUGGCUGCAGGGUGACCGCAGUAUCCCCUGACUACCUACCAAAUAGAAAAAUCAACAAAAUGUUUUCUACUGAGUCACUGAUUUAUCCAGGACAGUCAUCAAUAUUUUCCAUUGUUAUCUCUGAUGUCUAAAGUGACUCCUCCAGGUUACAUUAAGGGCACAACAACUAUUAAUUAGAACUUUAUGACAGAUUAUUGGUAAUGAACAGACACAGUAAAACCUUGUAGCUCAGAAGCAGACACUACCCCACCCACAGUUCUCCUCCUCAAUCAGUAACUUGGUGCUACCCUACCUAGUUGUGUCUCAUGGGAGGACAAUACUUCUGUCUGCUGCAGCACACUGAAAAGGACAGCAGAUAAUCUUUCAAAAGUAGUGUUCAACUUAUUUGAAAGGAAAAAGAUUGUUAAGUUUUCACGGGUCCUGGACA